AAGGACUAUACCAUCUGAAAGUAAUAUUAAAAGGACAUCAAGACAAAGCAAAUAGGGACCACACUCAAAAAAAAGUAUAUAAAUAAUAAGACCAAUGCAUGCUGACAAAUAGGGAAGUUAGAAUAUAUAUGGGGACAAAGGAAACUGAUGGCCUGAAGACAUUUCCAAUAGGUAUAAAACAAAUCCUCUUACCCCCAAC
RNAcentral lists this long non-coding RNA (199 nucleotides) under Elaeis guineensis (African oil palm). RNAcentral describes it as "long non-coding RNA (EGUI_LNC012418)". The record is from RNAcentral. Lineage: Eukaryota; Viridiplantae; Streptophyta; Magnoliopsida; Arecales; Arecaceae.